This 405-nucleotide ribosomal RNA is filed under the name uncultured bacterium. RNAcentral's name for it is "partial 16S ribosomal RNA". It matches the Rfam family "Bacterial small subunit ribosomal RNA", at positions 28 to 526 of the family's 1533-position model. The record is from RNAcentral.
GAUGAACGCUGGCGGCGUGCCUAAUACAUGCAAGUCGAGCGAAGCGGGGACGGGUGAGUAACACGUGGAUAACCUCCUAUAAGACUGGGAUAACUUCGGGAAACCGGAUCUACAACGGAUACUUAUAGAUUGCUCCUCGCUGCAUUAGCUAGUUGGUAAGGUAACGGCUUACCAAGGCAACGAUGCAUAGCCGACCUUAGCGGGUGAGCGGACACACUUGAACUGAGACACGGUCCAGACGCCGACGGUAGGCAGCAGUAGGGAAUCUUCCGCAAUGGGCGAAAGCCUGACGGAGCAACGCCGCGGGAGUGAUGAAGGUCUUCGGAUCGUAAAACUCUGUUAUUAGGGAAGCGGUACCUAAUCAGAAAGCCACGGCUAACUACGUGCCAGCAGCCGCGGUAAUUC